This is a long non-coding RNA of Cannabis sativa, 434 nucleotides long. RefSeq lists it as uncharacterized. The record is from RefSeq and is a predicted model, not a curated record. NCBI's taxonomy places the organism in Eukaryota, Viridiplantae, Streptophyta, Magnoliopsida, Rosales, Cannabaceae. The transcript has 2 exons.
CGACAAGCGACUGCCUUUUACCACAACUGUUUAUUCUUUGCACUGUUUAUAAUGGCUAAUGUUUACCAGUCCUCACCACCGGAGUUUUCUCCGCCGUUUCUUGUUGAGAAUCAACUCGAAAAGAGCUCAGUGAUGUGAUUGAAAGUCUUCGCUAUGGAGACCCAGACCCAAGUCCUCCUCCGCCAUAUUCUUGAUUCUAUCGUAAAAACGAACGAAUGAACUCUCUCGCUUGAUCUUACCCCUUUCAUUGAUUCAGAAUUGGACUAGUUUUUUCUGUUCAGUGAGUUUGGAUUUUAGUUUAUAAAAUUUGUAUAUUUAGGGAUUUUGAAUGAGUUCCAAGUGUGAGUAAAAGAGAGGUAUUGGAAUUGAAACACUUCAUCUCACCUUGUUUCAUACAUGAAAUCUCUUCAAUAUAAUUGUGUUUUGGUCUCUUU